AGUGAACGCUGGCGGUAGGCCUAACAUAUGCAAGUCGAACGGCAGCACAGUAAGAGCUUGCUCUUACGGGUGGCGAGUGGCGGACGGGUGAGGAAUACAUCGGAAUCUACUUUUUCGUGGGGGAUAACGUAGGGAAACUUACGCUAAUACCGCAUACGACCUACGGGUGAAAGCAGGGGAUCUUCGGACCUUGCGCGAUUGAAUGAGCCGAUGUCGGAUUAGCUAGUUGGCGGGGUAAAGGCCCACCAAGGCGACGAUCCGUAGCUGGUCUGAGAGGAUGAUCAGCCACACUGGAACUGAGACACGGUCCAGACUCCUACGGGAGGCAGCAGUGGGGAAUAUUGGACAAUGGGCGAAAGCCUGAUCCAGCAAUACCGCGUGGGUGAAGAAGGCCUUCGGGUUGUAAAGCCCUUUUGUUGGGAAAGAAAAGCAGCAGGUUAAUACCCCGCUGUUCUGACGGUACCCAAAGAAUAAGCACCGGCUAGCUUCGUG
RNAcentral lists this ribosomal RNA (492 nucleotides) under uncultured bacterium. RNAcentral describes it as "partial 16S ribosomal RNA". It matches the Rfam family "Bacterial small subunit ribosomal RNA", at positions 29 to 507 of the family's 1533-position model. The record is from RNAcentral.